Long non-coding RNA from Osmerus eperlanus (European smelt), 1525 nucleotides. RefSeq lists it as uncharacterized. The record is from RefSeq and is a predicted model, not a curated record. The transcript is spliced from 5 exons. NCBI's taxonomy places the organism in Eukaryota, Metazoa, Chordata, Actinopteri, Osmeriformes, Osmeridae.
GUCGCCUCGAUUUGUUAAAACGUUUUAACAAAUCUCGGUUUACAAAGGCGUUUGCAGACCUGUCGAGGAGUAAACAUUUGCUGUUUAAAGGAUGAGAAGAUGGCAAGAAGGAACUUCCUAAGACAGUGUAAGCAGACACUAAAUGACUGCACUCAGCUUUUGCUGUCGGAUAACCCUGGACGCGACGACCUUCAGUCCACGUUGACAAGGCUGGAAACAAUGCAGCGAAGCCUAGAGUGGGCAAAGGGGUACGCUCUUAAAUGUUGCUUCAGCAGACGGCCUGAUAGCUGAACUGUCCGAGCUCAAGCAGGAGAGUCGCACCUAUGGUCGGCAUGCACAGCCAUUUCAGUGGGGCCAGUUCCGGUUACCAGGCUCCAUUGACUUGGAGUGGAGCUAGAGGUGUUCCUCAUUAUCCCAUCACCGGAGAGCAAUUGAGGGGUCUGAUGAUAGAUGGCAGAUAUUCUCCACGUGUUCCAUUCUACACUCAAACCACAUCUAAGGCACUUUGCAUUAACCUGAGGGCAGCUGCCUUCCCAUCAAUGUCGCAGAGGCUGCACAGAAGGUACAGUGUUGCUGCUCUGAAUUCUUUGACACAUCGAUGGAAACUACAGACUGAAGGUGGAGGAUAGUCAUUAUGUGUAUCUGCCUUGAAUCAACAGAGACAUGGCAGACUUCUGCAACUAGUGGAACCGUCAGGCCAAAUAGUGUCCUAGGGCCAAAUAGUGUCCUACCUGACGUCACAAUGAAGUUCCGUCGCUAUGCCAACCUUAAAUUCCUGAGAUAUCUACGUGUGCUAGCAGGAAACUGUCAUGGUUGCUAUACUGGUUACUUGGUAGGAAGUUUUGUAUUUAGGCUUAUUUAAACCAGUUUAUUCUACUCUAAGAUUUAAAUACAAAGCCUCGUACCUAGUUUUGUACCUGGCUUCAUGUUUUGGUUGCUCGCAAUGUUGAGGCUAUCUCGUUGUUAUGAUCAGUGACCUAUGCACUUUUGUAAAGCUCUCUCGUGGAAGUCGCUUUGGAUAAAAGCGUCUGCUAAAUGCAUAAAUGUAAAUAAAUGGAGUCAGGUGGCUGAGCAGUGAGGGAAUUGGGCCUGUAAUCAUAAGGUUGCCAGUUCGAUUCCCGGCUGUGCCAAAUGGCGUUGUGUCCUUGGGCAAGGCACUUCACCCUACUUGCCUCGGGGGGAAUGUCCCUGUACUUACUGUAAGUCGCUCUGGAUAAGAGCGUCUGCUAAAUGUAAAUGUAAGAUGCAGUCAGUGAUUAAGAUCAGUGAAACACACAACUACAGAUUACUUGAACUAUAGUGCACAGUACUUGUGAUAAAAUUUGUGGCGCACACACACACAUAGACUUCUGCAAUUAUAGAUAGGGCACAAUGCCCGGAAUGAUGUUGGUGACACAAACAGAUUUCUGGAAUUAUAGAUGGGUAGUGCAGUGCCUGGUGAUGACAGUUCUUCUCAGUGGCUUUGGUACCUAUAUUUCUCAGAUAACAAUUGAAAUUCUCUGUCAUCUCUGAAGUACUUGUUCAA